GACAGCUUGGCCGAGUGGAUAAGGCGAUAGACUAGAAAUCUAUUGGGGUAACCCGCGUGAGUUCAAAUCUCACAGCUGUCG
This 81-nucleotide transfer RNA is filed under the name Phytophthora infestans (potato late blight agent). It matches the Rfam family "tRNA". Rfam says of the family: Transfer RNA (tRNA) molecules are approximately 80 nucleotides in length. Their secondary structure includes four short double-helical elements and three loops (D, anti-codon, and T loops). Further hydrogen bonds mediate the characteristic L-shaped molecular structure. tRNAs have two regions of fundamental functional importance: the anti-codon, which is responsible for specific mRNA codon recognition, and the 3' end, to which the tRNAs corresponding amino acid is attached (by aminoacyl-tRNA synthetases). tRNAs cope with the degeneracy of the genetic code in two manners: having more than one tRNA (with a specific anti-codon) for a particular amino acid; and 'wobble' base-pairing, i.e. permitting non-standard base-pairing at the 3rd anti-codon position. Lineage: Eukaryota; Oomycota; Peronosporomycetes; Peronosporales; Peronosporaceae. The record is from Rfam by way of RNAcentral. RNAcentral also lists the same sequence under 1 other name.